GGAGAGUAGAGGAGGAUAAUAGAGGUGUAGAGUAGAGGAGGAUAAUAGAGGUGGAGAGUGGAGGAGGAUAAUAGAGGUGGAGAGUAGAGGUGGAGAGUAGAGGAGGAGAGUAGCGGUGGAGAGUAGAUGAGGAGUGGGGUGGAGGAGAGUGGAGGAGGAUAAUAGAGGUGUGGAGUGGAGGAGGAUAAUAGAGGUGUAGAGUGGAGGAGGAGUGGGGAGGAGGAGAGUGGAGGAGGAUAAUAGAGGUGUGGAGUGGAGGAGGAGUGGGGAGGAGGAGAGUGGAGGAGGAUAAUAGAGGUGUAGAGUAGAGGAGGAUAAUAGAGGUGGAGAGGAGAGGAGGAUAAAAGAGGUGGAGAGUGGAGUAGGAGUGGGGAGGAGGAGAGUGGAGGAGGAUAACAGAGGUGUAGAGUGGAGGAG
Molecule: long non-coding RNA, 417 nt
Organism: Oncorhynchus tshawytscha (Chinook salmon)
Lineage: Eukaryota; Metazoa; Chordata; Actinopteri; Salmoniformes; Salmonidae
Source: Ensembl